UAUUUGGUACGGAUUCAAUCUGUGUCACAGUGCCUCUUCUGCACAUGAUCGACGAAUUCAGGGAUGGUUUGUGUUAAUCUUUCUAUCAGUUGUUGUUGUUGCUGUUAUAUUGUAAUCCUUAAUCAUGUGAUGUCUGGUUAUAAAAAUUCUGAGCUAGGGCCUUAUGGUAUUAACUAGUAAUAGUUGAAGUUGUGGCUAAUUGCUGUACUGGCACAGAUUUCAGGAAAGAACCAUACAUCUUGCAGAUCAUUGUUAAUUUAAGAUAAAUUUUAAUACGUUUUAAUUAUAAAAAUUUUAA
Molecule: unclassified non-coding RNA, 298 nt
Filed under: Hevea brasiliensis (rubber tree)
Lineage: Eukaryota; Viridiplantae; Streptophyta; Magnoliopsida; Malpighiales; Euphorbiaceae
Source: RNAcentral